AUGUGCUGAGUAGCACGCGCGACGUGAGGAGGCGAGAGCGGAGCCGCGUUGGGAGGACACCGAUUCCAUAAUUAAUAUUCGCAAUGCGGAAGGAGCGCGAAAAACAGAUUAGGUGCGGGAAGUUGACCGGCGACAAGCAGUAUGUCAACCCGAGAGUUGACAGCUAUUAGCCACAACACAGCUUAUAUACCAUUCGUAUUUUAUUUUGUUAGCUUUAAUUAGUUAGUGUUACCAUGGUAAAGAAACAAAUAUACUAAAGAAUGAUAA
This is a long non-coding RNA of Leptidea sinapis, 267 nucleotides long. RefSeq lists it as uncharacterized. The record is from RefSeq and is a predicted model, not a curated record. Lineage: Eukaryota; Metazoa; Arthropoda; Insecta; Lepidoptera; Pieridae. The transcript is spliced from 2 exons.